GACGAACGCUGGCGGCGUGCUUAACACAUGCAAGUCGAACGGAAAGGCCCUGCUUUUGUGGGGUGCUCGAGUGGCGAACGGGUGAGUAACACGUGAGUACCCUGCCCUUGACUUUGGGGUCACUUAAGGAAACUGGGGCUAAUACCGGAUAGGAGCUCCUGCUGCAUGGUGGGGGUUGGAAAGUUUCGGUGGUUGGGGAUGUACUCGCGGCUUAUCAGCUUGUUGGUGGGGUAGUGGCUUACGAAGGCUUGGACGGGUAGCCGGCCUGAGAGGGUGACCGGCUAAACUGGGACUGGAAUACGGCCCAGACUACUAUCCGACGCAACGGUGGAGAAUAUUACACAAGAGGCGGAACGAUGACGUAGCAACGCAGCGUCGGGUAUGUCGUGAAGCGGGUAGUGAACCAAUGUCGUUUUUGACGAGGCGUUAGUGACGGUACCGGGUGAAGAAGCACCGGCUAACUACGUG
RNAcentral lists this ribosomal RNA (468 nucleotides) under uncultured bacterium. RNAcentral's name for it is "partial 16S ribosomal RNA". It matches the Rfam family "Bacterial small subunit ribosomal RNA", at positions 28 to 507 of the family's 1533-position model. The record is from RNAcentral.